This 77-nucleotide transfer RNA is filed under the name Acholeplasmatales bacterium. Its description in RNAcentral is "tRNA-Leu". It matches the Rfam family "tRNA". From Rfam's summary of the family: Transfer RNA (tRNA) molecules are approximately 80 nucleotides in length. Their secondary structure includes four short double-helical elements and three loops (D, anti-codon, and T loops). Lineage: Bacteria; Bacillati; Mycoplasmatota; Mollicutes; Acholeplasmatales. The record is from RNAcentral.
GGCCUGAUGAUGGAAUUGGCAUACAUGCUUGACUCAAAAUCAAGAUUUUACCGGUUCAAGUCCGGUUCAGGCUACCA